UGUACGAAGCUGAGUAUAGUUUGACCUGCUCACUGAAUUGAUUAAAGAGCCGCAGUAUUUUGACUGUGCGAAGGUAGCAUAAUAGAUUGUCUUUUAAAUGGAGGCUUGAAUGAACGGUUGGACAAAAUAUUAUCUGUUUCUUAAAUAAUUAUUGAAUUUGAUUUUUAAGUGAAAAAGCUUAAAUAUACUAAAAAGACGAUAAGACCCUAUAAAUCUUGAUAAUAAUUGUAAUUUUAGAUUUUAGUUUAUAAGUUUAUAAUUUAUAAAAUAAUGAUUUUAUUUCGUUGGGGCGACGUAGAUAUAUAAUAGAACUGUUUAUAAUAUAAAAUCAAUAAUAGUUGAUUAAUAAGUUUGAUCCUUUAUAAAGAUUAAGAGAUUAAGAUACUUUAGGGAUAA
Molecule: ribosomal RNA, 396 nt
Filed under: Spiropagurus elegans
Lineage: Eukaryota; Metazoa; Arthropoda; Malacostraca; Decapoda; Paguridae
Description: partial 16S ribosomal RNA
Source: RNAcentral